AUACGUAGGGUGCGAGCGUUAAUCGGAAUUACUGGGCUUAAAGCGUGCGCAGGUGGUUUUGUAAGUCAGAUGUGAAAUCCCCGGGCUUAACCUGGGAACUGCGUUUGAAACUGCAAGGCUAGAGUGUGGCAGAGGGGGGUGGAAUUCCGCGUGUAGCAGUGAAAUGCGUAGAGAUGUGGAGGAACACCGAUGGCGAAGGCAGCCCCCUGGGUCAGCACUGACGCUCAGGCACGAAAGCAUGGGGAGCAAACAGGAUUAGAAACCCCGGUAGUCC
This 274-nucleotide ribosomal RNA is filed under the name uncultured bacterium. RNAcentral's name for it is "partial 16S ribosomal RNA". It matches the Rfam family "Bacterial small subunit ribosomal RNA", at positions 523 to 796 of the family's 1533-position model. The record is from RNAcentral.